This is a small nucleolar RNA of Brassica oleracea var. oleracea, 126 nucleotides long. Lineage: Eukaryota; Viridiplantae; Streptophyta; Magnoliopsida; Brassicales; Brassicaceae. The record is from Rfam.
GAGCAAUGACGUCAAAAUAUAAAAUGGCGUUAGUUGCCUUGAAGGUUGGCAAUACAAAAUAAGCGAUUCUCCGUGCCUAUUAAGUCUUUCUCAUAUUGAUCGUGGCCUCGAACAAGUCGCUACAUU